CUGCACGUUGCACCCCGGGCUUCUCUGAAAAUGUAUUUCAAUGAAGAAGAAAGCCCCAAUGCUCGUGCUAAAUCAAUUUUUUUGGUCGUUCAGUGUUGCAAAUCAGCUUUGUUUUUUCUCCACAGUUGAUCUGUGUCAAAGUAACGUCUAUAUCU
This is a non-coding RNA of Thalictrum thalictroides, 155 nucleotides long. Lineage: Eukaryota; Viridiplantae; Streptophyta; Magnoliopsida; Ranunculales; Ranunculaceae. The record is from the annotation of a GenBank genome assembly.